Molecule: ribosomal RNA, 460 nt
Filed under: uncultured bacterium
Lineage: Bacteria
Description: SSU rRNA
Rfam family: Bacterial small subunit ribosomal RNA
Source: RNAcentral
AGAAUCAACGCUGGCGGCGUGCCUAACACAUGCAAGUCGAACGAGAAAGUGGAGCAAUCCAUGAGUAAAGUGGCGCACGGGUGAGUAACACGUGACUAACCUACCUUUUAGUGGGGGAUAACCUAGGGAAACCUGGGCUAAUACCGCAUAAUACCUACGGGUCAAAGCAGCAAUGCGCUGAAAGAGGGGGUCGCGGCCGAUUAGCUAGUUGGCGGGGUAAUGGCCCACCAAGGCAGUGAUCGGUAUCCGGCCUGAGAGGGCGCACGGACACACUGGAACUGAAACACGGUCCAGACUCCUACGGGAGGCAGCAGUGGGGAAUUUUGCGCAAUGGGGGAAACCCUGACGCAGCAACGCCGCGUGGAGGAUGAAGUCCCUUGGGACGUAAACUCCUUUCGAUCGGGACGAUAAUGACGGUACCGGAAGAAGAAGCCCCGGCUAACUUCGUGCCAGCAGCCGC